GUUUAACGAUGUUCAAUCUGAGCGUCAUUAUUUCUAUAAUAGCCUACACUUUCUCCUUCUGAACUUCUACCGUGAGUGGCACGGUUGAGGCUUCGUGACAAUGAUCAAGAGCAGCUUCUCACCGAUUUGAAAACUCAGUUUCUCCUCAGACGCCGGCAAAACAUCAGAGAUGCGGGUGUGAGGCGGCAGGUAGCCUAGGGUGUGAGGCGGCAGGUAACCUAGGGUGUGUGGCGGCAGGUAACCUAGGGUGUGAGGCGGCAGGUAACCUAGGGUGUGAGGCGGCAGGUAACCUAGGGUGUGAGGCGGCAGGUAACCUAGGGUGUGAGGCGGCAGGUAGCCUAGGGUGUGUGGAGGCAGGUAACCUAGGGUGUGAGGCGGCAGUGGGCUAGAGUGUGAGGCGGCAGGUAACCUAGGGUGUGAGGAGGCAGGUAACCUAGGGUGUGAGGCGGCAGGUAACCUAGGGUGUGAGGAGGCAGGUAACCUAGGGUGUAAGGCGGCAGGUAGCCUAGGCGGCAGGUAGACUAGGGUGUGAGGCGGCAGGUAACCUAGGGUGUGAGGAGGCAGGUAACCUAGGGUGUGAGGCGGCAGGUAGCCUAGGCGGCAGGUAGCCUAGGGUGUGAGGCGGCAGGUAACCUAGGGUGUGAGGCCGCAGGUAACCUAGGGUGUGAGGCGGCAGGUAGCCUAGGGUGUGAGGCGGCAGGUAGCCUAGGGUGUAUGGCGGCAGGUAGCCUAGGGUGUGUGGAGGCAGGUAACCUAGGGUAUGAGGCGGCAGGUAGGCUAGGGUGUGAGGCGGCAGGUAACCUAGGGUAUGAGGCGGCAGGUAGGCUAGGGUAUGAGGCGGCAGGUAGGCUAGGGUGUGAGGCGGCAGGUAGGCUAGGGUGUGAGGCGGCAGGUAACCUAGGGUAUGAGGCGGCAGGUAGGCUAGGGUGUGAGGCGGCAGGUAACCUAGGGUAUGAGGCGGCAGGUAGGCUAGGGUGUGAGGCGGCAGGUAACCUAGUGGUUAAGAGCGUCGGGGGAAAAAAACAAAA
This 1028-nucleotide long non-coding RNA is filed under the name Salmo salar (Atlantic salmon). RNAcentral's name for it is "lncRNA (ENSSSAG00000112744.1)". Lineage: Eukaryota; Metazoa; Chordata; Actinopteri; Salmoniformes; Salmonidae. The record is from RNAcentral.